AGAAAGUUGGCUGAGCGGUUUAAGGCGGUUAGCUAGAGUCUAACUAAGAAUUUUUCUUUCAUGCGUUCGAAUCGCAUACUUUCUG
Molecule: transfer RNA, 85 nt
Filed under: Thermochaetoides thermophila DSM 1495
Lineage: Eukaryota; Fungi; Ascomycota; Sordariomycetes; Sordariales; Chaetomiaceae
Description: Chaetomium thermophilum var. thermophilum DSM 1495 tRNA-Ser
Rfam family: tRNA
About the family: Transfer RNA (tRNA) molecules are approximately 80 nucleotides in length.
Source: RNAcentral